Molecule: transfer RNA, 84 nt
Filed under: Candidatus Aenigmarchaeota archaeon CG_4_9_14_3_um_filter_37_18
Lineage: Archaea; Nanobdellati; Candidatus Aenigmatarchaeota
Description: tRNA-Ser
Rfam family: tRNA
About the family: Transfer RNA (tRNA) molecules are approximately 80 nucleotides in length. Their secondary structure includes four short double-helical elements and three loops (D, anti-codon, and T loops).
Source: RNAcentral
GCCGAGAUCGCGUAACCCGGUAUCGCGCUAGCCUGGAAAGCUAGUGUCCUUCGGGACUUGGGGGUUCAAAUCCCUCUCUCGGCG